GUGUGGUGUAGUGGUUAGCACAUUUGCCUACCAUGCAGCAGGUCCCUGGUUCAAAGCCUGGCAGAAACA
Non-coding RNA from Pelodiscus sinensis (Chinese soft-shelled turtle), 69 nucleotides. Lineage: Eukaryota; Metazoa; Chordata; Testudines; Trionychidae. The record is from Rfam.